UCCCUGGUGGCUCAGAUGGUAAAGCGUCUGCCUGCAAUGCAGGAGACUCAGGUUUGAUCCCUGAGUUGGGAA
This 72-nucleotide transfer RNA is filed under the name Ovis aries (sheep). It matches the Rfam family "tRNA". Rfam says of the family: Transfer RNA (tRNA) molecules are approximately 80 nucleotides in length. Their secondary structure includes four short double-helical elements and three loops (D, anti-codon, and T loops). Lineage: Eukaryota; Metazoa; Chordata; Mammalia; Artiodactyla; Bovidae. The record is from Rfam by way of RNAcentral.